GCAGCCAAUGGGCUGAAACUUCCAGGAGGGCUUCUCAGUUGGAAGGAUAGAAAUAGCUAAAACUUCACCGCUUACGCUCUCCGGAACGCAAUUCCUUAGAGCAGCAUAACCUGUUAAAACAGGCGGAGAUGCACUGGGCUUCUCACCUUUUUCUUCCAGUGCUGGAUAUCCAGUUUGCUCUUUGUCCUGUGUUUCUAAUGCCUAACAGCUGUCGGUCAGCCUGGAUUUCCUUCGAGGUGAAGGAAACCGCACUUUACCUUUCCUUAGGACCUCAUCCGUGCAAGUAAUGGACGCUUUUAAGCAACGCGAUCUAGGUGUUAAUAUCUUCAUUUACAAAUUAUAACAAGUUUGGCAAGCUGUUCUACCACUAUAGAUCAAUAGCUGCCAAUCAGAAGGAAAGAAGGCUCCCUUAAAACAGGAAUACAACAACCCUGGAAAUUGUUGAUGGCUGACAAUCUGCUGAUGAAGAGGAAAGUAGAAAACAAAAGGCAGACAUGAGAAUUAACAAAAAACCAUAGUUUAUAAAUAACUGCCAAAUGACCUAAGUAGCACCUAAAACAAAAAAAUUCACAGCAUUGUUGAAUCCUACAAUAAUUUGACAUCGACUGUAAAAAACACUUGAUAAUCUGUAAGUGCCAUGCAUUCUCCAGUCAGGGGAUCCAAGUUCUCAUCCUGAUUUUGGCACCAAUAACCAAGUGGAAGUGGACAAAGUCAGUUUCCUCAUCUGAAGGCAGCAAUAAUAAUCUCUGCCUACUCUAUAGGGUUGCUGAAAAUCAAAUGAGAUAACCCUUGAAAUCUAAUGCCUUAUACCUUAAGAAACAGAGCAGUGUGUACUUUAUAUUAUAUUUUCAAAAGCUGUUUUUUUUAAUUAUUCAUUUUAGUUUUUAUUUUUAGAUCUUAAAAAGAUAUUACAUACUCUUUUACUAACAGGAAUAUUACUUAAUUGGGCAUACCCCCUGAGAAUUCUGGAUAGUUGCGGUAUUUUGAAUUUGCAUAUUUUCACCUUUGGUAAGAGUAUGAAAUUUGGGUCGUCAAAAAUUUUGAGAAUCACCUCUAGUUCACUCUCUCCAUUGGCUUAGGGGUCAAAAAACCAGCACUCCAGCCUGGACCAGCACCAUUCAUUAGCUAUUAGGCCUUGGGCAAAGUCACCAGGCUGAAUCUUCUCAGAAUCUUUAGGAACUAUCAUUUUGUGUUUUGUUUUAGUUUUUUACUAUAGAACAGUUGUUACCAUAAUCCCUUAUAUUUGACAGAACUUUAGUUUUAUAAAGCACUUCCAUAUCAUCAGAAAUUCACACCAACACCUUGUGAGGUGGGUAUUAUCCCUUUAUAUUACAGAAAGAACAGGGGAAAAUAUAAAUAAGUUAAAAGUCUUGCCAAGUCACACAACUACUGUGCAACAGAGGAAUUAGGACUCCAAGGAAAUGAUUAAUUUGCAAUAGUAUUGUGCAUAUGUUUUUUUAAAAAAAUUUGCAAAAUACUGAGUAUUAAUAGUAUUGUUUGGUUAUUUCUUAUAAUCAAGAUGACAGAAAAAUAACUUAAGUAACUGAGAAAUACAAUACUGAUGCUUUUCCUUGACUCAGACAACUUAUGUGUAACUUUUUUCAAAAAGCAGAAUAGUUAAAUUUAUUUUGCUGAGCUAUUGUUAUUUUACAAUUGACAUUUUGAAGUUAGCACCUCAUGCAGAGAAAAGUUUGCAGCUUUGCUUUAAUUUUGGUUUGGCUGAAGUAUCUUUUUCAAAAGCACAGCAAUUUAAUGCUUUACAUUUUAAAAACCAUAUUUGCAAUGGAAAAUAUACAAGUAAUUUAAAAAAGGACACACUCACAAGACUUACCCUUUAAAGUAACACGUUAAAAUAAAACAGUCUGUUAUUUUCUCUUAAUAACAUGGCUACUAGUCUCUUUAAUGCAAUUGCCAAAAUUUUGUAUAUAAUUUACGAUGGAUGUUUUAAAGGAAAAACAUAAAAGUUUUGUAACAGUAAUACUUUUAAAAUAGGCCAUGCAUUGAUAUACUUCAUGAGAACUAUGAUAAGUACAAGUAUGAUUUAAGGGUUAUCAAAUCUCCCUAAUUUCUAUAAUAUUAUGCCUAAACAAAUCUGUAUAUAUACAAGCAAAAGACAUUUGAUUAGAUGUGAACUUGUGUGAAACACAGAUGCAUUAAAUGAAAGAGAAACCUCUACAGAUGUCUAAGUUUUUUAAGUGCGUGUUUGAAAACAUUAAAUAAUAAAUAACCACUAAUAAGAGUAAUGCAUUGCAGUAGCAAAAAGAUUUUCGUAUAAUGUUAAAAAGAAAGCACUGUUAGCCAUGAUACUGACAAACAUAUUUAUAGUUCCAGAUUCCAUUGGUUCCUCCAGCAUAUGGGAGCAGUUAUUUGUAAUUCAGAUAAAGUAGUUUUUCAUUGUAAUACUGAGCAGGUUAUUCUAAAAAUAUUCCACUACUUCCGAAAUAAUCAUCUCAGUCUUGAUGACUAUAGCUUAAACAUAUUCUUUUGCCUGGUUUAUUCGGACAGGUUUGUGCCUUGGAUCUGAAACCCUAAAGUGUUCAUCAGUUUGAAAUUUUUUGGCACUUGACAUUUAAAACAUGAGAAAUAUAAAGAAAUUCUGUUGCAGCAAGGUCUUAAGCUUUUAAAAUUAGCACCCCUCCCGGCUUUACAACAAAGUCAUGCUGUGAAUGAGUUUUUAGUUAAUGCUUCUUGGGAUUUAUUCCUGGACUAUAAUUUUAUCAAAUGCAGGGGGAAUUUUCUUUGGGAAUUUAGCAGAAUAUCCUUUUCACAGCUCGUUUAAUAAUAUUUUCUUUUAUAUGGCAGGGGCUCUUUGGGGGUUGGGGGAAACCAACUGCAGAAAAUUGCAGGUUUCAGAAGACAGCUCUGAAAUCGCAGACACCCAAUUUCUCCCUUGCACACUUUCUUUUUUACUCACACUUCCAAUAGAACAGGAUUUCUACAGCUCAUAUGGUUUUGUACAAAGACUUAAAAGGGCCACUUGAAACGUUUACAGAUGAGAGGGCUCACAUAAACCUCCCCCUGACAGAUAUUUACGAAGCGCCACUUACUCUUUCUCGCCACAAACGUAUUCAAGAGACACUUUAGAUAUAUUUCUAAGAGUUCUUUUUCCCUACAACGUCUUAUGAAGGCCAGGCCUUCCUAGAACUAAAGCAGCAUUAACUGCUUGGUAUUUCAUCCAUCCUCUCUUAAAAUUGAAAGACAAUUUGCUCUUCAUGUGGACUAUUUCUUUCUCUUCUAUAAACCCAUCACUGUAACCACAGGAUUUAAUAUUUGUUAGUCUAUUUUGCAUAAAGGAUAAGGUUGGACGAAAGUACCAGCAGUGAAAAUUAAUGCACUAGCAGCUUACAGAAAGUUAGGGUUCUCAUUCUUCCUAGAGAAACUCUUAAAUUUCUUUUGUGCAGUUUUUGGUGUGUGGGCGCAAGCGCAUGCGCGCGCGUGUUGGGGGGGUGGGGUAGAAUUAGAUUUGUUAGAAAAGAAGCUCUUUUCCAUUCCAGUCACAACUAAAGUUCAAACAAAACUCUUAGCUUGCUGGAAGAAGCCUGGAGGUGUUAAGGGACAGCUUCGCUUAAUCUUUCUUUCUCUUCUUCCUAAGCCAUGUGAAGACCUUGCCUGAUUCCCCUUUGCCCUCCAC
RNAcentral lists this long non-coding RNA (3631 nucleotides) under Homo sapiens (human). RNAcentral describes it as "HSALNT0322006". The record is from RNAcentral. Lineage: Eukaryota; Metazoa; Chordata; Mammalia; Primates; Hominidae.